This 498-nucleotide ribosomal RNA is filed under the name uncultured bacterium. RNAcentral's name for it is "partial 16S ribosomal RNA". It matches the Rfam family "Bacterial small subunit ribosomal RNA", at positions 30 to 523 of the family's 1533-position model. The record is from RNAcentral.
AUUGAACGCUGGCGGCAUGCCUUACACAUGCAAGUCGAACGGUAACAGGUCUUCGGAUGCUGACGAGUGGCGAACGGGUGAGUAAUACAUCGGAACGUGCCUAUUAGUGGGGGAUAACUACUCGAAAGAAUGGCUAAUACCGCAUGAGAUCUACGUAUGAAAGCAGGGGAUCGCAAGACCUUGUGCUACUAGAGCGGCCGAUGCCAGCUUAGGAAGUUGGUGGGAUAAAAGCUACCCAAGCCGACGAUCUGUAGCUGGUCUGAGAGGACGAUCAGGCACACUGGGACUGAGACACGGCCCAGACUCCUACGGGAGGCAGCAGUGGGGAAUUUUGGACAAUGGGCGCAAGCCUGAUCCAGCAAUGCCGCGUGCAGGAUGAAGGCCUUCGGGUUGUAAACUGCUUUUGUACGGAACGAAAAGCCCCAGGUUAAUAACCUGGUGUCAUGACGGUACCGUAAGAAUAAGCACCGGCUAACUACGUGCCAGCCGCCGCGGUAA